RNA transcript from Zophobas morio, 1671 nucleotides. It is a transcript of the gene named putative transferase CAF17 homolog, mitochondrial, with no coding region annotated. The record is from RefSeq and is a predicted model, not a curated record. The transcript has 13 exons. Lineage: Eukaryota; Metazoa; Arthropoda; Insecta; Coleoptera; Tenebrionidae.
ACUCUACUGUUAUGAUUUUUGCAACUUGGUACCAAAAUUUUCCUGUGUUUCGACAAUAUGUUACAGUUGCUCAUCUUUCUGAAAGAUUGGGGUUAAUAAAAGUCAGUAGUAGUAGCAGCGCACAAUUAUUACAAAACUUAGUAACGAAUGACUUGCGAUCUUUUUCUAAAAGGAAGACCGUCAUCUUUUCUACUUUUCUUAAUGGCCAGGGUAGGAUCUUGUUUGAUACACUUAUCCAUGUGCCUUUAAGAACUUUUGCUGUAGCUGAAGAAAAUUUAUUCGCUUUGAAUCCUUUGAGUUUCAAUGAAUUUUAUUUAGAAUGCCAAAAAGAUCGUAUACAAGAGUUAACUUCCCAUCUUAAUAAAUACAGCUUUAAACACAAAACGAAUAUUGAAGAUUGUUCUUCUCGCAUCCAAGUUUUAUCAAUUUUUAAAAGUUUUAAAGGAAUUCAAAUUGAAAAACUUAUUAAUACAAAAUUUGUAAUAAGCGCUGGUGUUGAUCCUCGCCAUGAAGGGCUGGGAUGCAGACUUUUGGUAGAGCGAGGCAGCGAAAGUGGAUUUUCGGUUGAUUUCAAAUUUGUAAGUUCAAAAGAAUACGAUAAACGAAGUUUCUGCAUGAUAUGCAAAACAAAACUUAAUCGUACACCCUUAAAAAGAUACCUGCUGGGGAUUCCAGAAGGUCCAGAGUUUCCAUCCGGUAAAGCUCUUCCCCUAGAAUUUAACGUUGAACAGUUAAACGGCGUUAGUUUUCAGAAAGGCUGUUACUUGGGGCAAGAGUUGACCGCCCGUUCAAAGUUUGUAUUAGACAUUCGAAAAAGGAUAUUUCCGAUUAUUAUUGAGCCUCCGCUCAGAGCCGAUAUGCUCCCCUUAGAAGAUUCGAUAAUUUAUGAUGAAAAUGUAAAGGUUGGAAAGUUCAUUGCUGGUAUUGAUGAGGCUGGAAUUGCUCUUCUACGUUUAUCUUAAAAACUGUCUUGCGGGACUAAAGCUUGAGCUUUUAUGAAUGACCACCCUAACAGAAUAACAUAUUUAUUAGGUUAAAAUUUCUUAAUUUAUUAAGACUGAAGUCUAAUUCUCCUUACAUUUAUGAACUCUUGCCGUCACUCUCGUUGUACCGCCUGAAUUGUGUCCGUAUUUAUGUCUAAGCAAUUUUACAAGGAAAGCUCUAUCGGCUGACGGAACGAUUUUCUCUGCUACACAAGUAAAAAAAAAGGGAUUCUACUUAUGAUGACAGCCUUUAGACCACAACUUUUCCCAAGCUUUAAAAAAAUAAUCCUAGUCCCUCCCACUUCGAUACGUAUAACAGUUUCUUUAGUUACACCAUUUUCAGUAAUGUAAAACGGUUGUAAAUUUAAUUUUUAACAGCUUGCCUACUAUUAUUUAUGUGAUAGUAUAGAAUUAAGAUUAUAAUUCCCAUAUUUGAUAUGGUGUGUAAAGCUGGCGAUGUUUGGGGACAAAAAAUAACUUAUGAAUAUCUUGUUAUAACAUGAUGAGUUGAGUCCACACUGCCGUUGCCCGCUAUAUGAUAAACUUUAUUUGAACUUUUAAGUCUUCAAUUAAGUUAGCUUUUAUUAUUGCCCUUUAUGCUUCAGAGAGUUACAAUAAGGCUCCACGCAAAUAUACAUAUGCUAAGUCUACUGCGUUAAGUAUGCGAGGACGAGGUGGAGCUGUGUAU